Molecule: ribosomal RNA, 468 nt
Filed under: uncultured bacterium
Lineage: Bacteria
Description: partial 16S ribosomal RNA
Rfam family: Bacterial small subunit ribosomal RNA
Source: RNAcentral
GACGAACGCUGGCGGCGUGCUUAACACAUGCAAGUCGAACGGAAAGGCCCUGCUUUUGUGGGGUGCUCGAGUGGCGAACGGGUGAGUAACACGUGAGUAACCUGCCCUUGACUUUGGGAUAACUUCAGGAAACUGGGGCUAAUACCGGAUAGGAGCUCCUGCUGCAUGGUGGGGGUUGGAAAGGUUCGGCGGUUGGGGAUGGACUCGCGGCUUAUCAGCUUGUUGGUGGGGUAGUGGCUUACCAAGGCUUUGACGGGUAGCCGGCCUGAGAGGGUGACCGGCCACCUUGGGACUGAGAUACGGCCCAGACUCCUACGGGAGGCAGCAGUGGGGAAUAUUGCACAAUGGGCGGAAGCCUGAUGCCGCAACGCCGCGUGCGGGAUGACGGCCUUCGGGUUGUAAACCGCUUUCGCCUGUGACGAAGCGUGAGUGACGGUAAUGGGUAAAGAAGCACCGGCUAACUACGUG